RNAcentral lists this ribosomal RNA (301 nucleotides) under uncultured bacterium. RNAcentral's name for it is "partial 16S ribosomal RNA". It matches the Rfam family "Bacterial small subunit ribosomal RNA", at positions 509 to 809 of the family's 1533-position model. The record is from RNAcentral.
CAGUCGCCGCGGGAACACGAGGGGUGCAAGCGUUACUCGGAAUUACUGGGCGUAAAGCGUGCGUAGGUGGUGGUUUAAGUCCGUUGUGAAAGCCCUGGGCUCAACCUGGGAAUUGCAGUGGAUACUGGAUCACUAGAGUGUGGUAGAGGAUAGUGGAAUUUCCGGUGUAGCAGUGAAAUGCGUAGAGAUCGGAAGGAACAUCUGUGGCGAAGGCGACUAUCUGGGCCAACACUGACACUGAGGCACGAAAGCGUGGGGAGCAAACAGGAUUAGAUACCCCGGUAGUCCCUGUCUCUUAUAA